Molecule: small nucleolar RNA, 122 nt
Organism: Gorilla gorilla gorilla (western lowland gorilla)
Lineage: Eukaryota; Metazoa; Chordata; Mammalia; Primates; Hominidae
Source: Ensembl
GUUGAGGUCUAACACGAUAGGGCUUUUUCUGUAGCCACACCAUCUGGAAACAUCUAGUGUAACUGUGAUUUUGCUUUACUCAUAGGACUAUUAGAGCUGUGGGGAGGAACUAUAAUAUAAGG